GUCUAUGGCCAUACCACCCUGAACGCGCCCGAUCUUGUCUGAUCUCGGAAGCUAAGCAGCGUCAGGCCUGGUUAGUACUUGGAUGGGAAAAGACCAUGGGCUGCCAAAAGAAAGAACAAGUCUGUCUUGACA
RNAcentral lists this ribosomal RNA (132 nucleotides) under Echinops telfairi (small Madagascar hedgehog). Lineage: Eukaryota; Metazoa; Chordata; Mammalia; Afrosoricida; Tenrecidae. The record is from RNAcentral.